This 2891-nucleotide ribosomal RNA is filed under the name Vibrio parahaemolyticus. Its description in RNAcentral is "23S ribosomal RNA". It matches the Rfam family "Bacterial large subunit ribosomal RNA". The record is from RNAcentral. Lineage: Bacteria; Pseudomonadati; Pseudomonadota; Gammaproteobacteria; Vibrionales; Vibrionaceae.
GGUUAAGUGACUAAGCGUACACGGUGGAUGCCUUGGCAGUCAGAGGCGAUGAAAGACGUAGUAACUUGCGAUAAGCCCAGAUUAGGUAGUAACAACCAUUUGAGUCUGGGAUUUCUGAAUGGGGAAACCCACGUGCAUAAGCACGUAUCCUUACCUGAAUACAUAGGGUAAGGAGGCGAACCGGGGGAACUGAAACAUCUAAGUACCCCGAGGAAAAGAAAUCAACCGAGAUUCCGAAAGUAGCGGCGAGCGAAAUUGGACUAGCCCUUAAGCUUUACACGCGUUAGACGAACGGUCUGGAAAGUCCGACGAUACAGGGUGAUAGUCCCGUAGUUGACGACGUGUGUUCAGUGAAAUCGAGUAGGGCGGGACACGUGAUAUCCUGUCUGAAUAUGGGGGGACCAUCCUCCAAGGCUAAAUACUACUGACUGACCGAUAGUGAACCAGUACCGUGAGGGAAAGGCGAAAAGAACCCCUGUGAGGGGAGUGAAAUAGAACCUGAAACCGUGUACGUACAAGCAGUAGGAGCAGGCUUUGUCCUGUGACUGCGUACCUUUUGUAUAAUGGGUCAGCGACUUAUAUUCAGUGGCAAGGUUAACCAUCUAGGGGAGCCGUAGGGAAACCGAGUCUUAACUGGGCGUUCAGUCUCUGGAUAUAGACCCGAAACCAGGUGAUCUAGCCAUGGGCAGGUUGAAGGUUGAGUAACAUCAACUGGAGGACCGAACCGACUAAUGUUGAAAAAUUAGCGGAUGACUUGUGGCUAGGGGUGAAAGGCCAAUCAAACCUGGAGAUAGCUGGUUCUCCCCGAAAGCUAUUUAGGUAGCGCCUCGGACGAAUACUACUGGGGGUAGAGCACUGUUAAGGCUAGGGGGUCAUCCCGACUUACCAACCCUUUGCAAACUCCGAAUACCAGUAAGUACUAUCCGGGAGACACACGGCGGGUGCUAACGUCCGUCGUGGAGAGGGAAACAACCCAGACCGCCAGCUAAGGUCCCAAAUUACUACUAAGUGGGAAACGAUGUGGGAAGGCUCAGACAGCCAGGAUGUUGGCUUAGAAGCAGCCAUCAUUUAAAGAAAGCGUAAUAGCUCACUGGUCGAGUCGGCCUGCGCGGAAGAUGUAACGGGGCUAAGUAGUAAACCGAAGCUGCGGCAAUAUACUUUUGUAUAUUGGGUAGGGGAGCGUUCUGUAAGCGGUUGAAGGUGUGUGGUAACGCAUGCUGGACGUAUCAGAAGUGCGAAUGCUGACAUGAGUAACGAUAAAGGGGGUGAAAAACCUCCUCGCCGGAAGACCAAGGGUUCCUGUCCAACGUUAAUCGGGGCAGGGUAAGUCGACCCCUAAGGCGAGGCCGAAAGGCGUAGUCGAUGGGAAACGGGUUAAUAUUCCCGUACUUCUUACAAUUGCGAUGGGGGGACGGAGAAGGCUAGGUGGGCCUGGCGACGGUUGUCCAGGUUCAAGUGCGUAGGCUUAAGAGUUAGGUAAAUCCGGCUCUUUUUAAGGCUGAGACACGACGUCGAGCAUCUACGGAUGUGAAGUCAUUGAUGCCAUGCUUCCAGGAAAAGCCUCUAAGCUUCAGAUUGUAAGGAAUCGUACCCCAAACCGACACAGGUGGUCGGGUAGAGAAUACCAAGGCGCUUGAGAGAACUCGGGUGAAGGAACUAGGCAAAAUGGUACCGUAACUUCGGGAGAAGGUACGCUCUCGACGGUGAAGUCCCUCGCGGAUGGAGCUAUUGAGAGUCGCAGAUACCAGGUGGCUGCAACUGUUUAUUAAAAACACAGCACUGUGCAAAAUCGUAAGAUGACGUAUACGGUGUGACGCCUGCCCGGUGCCGGAAGGUUAAUUGAUGGGGUUAGACUUCGGUCGAAGCUCUUGAUCGAAGCCCCGGUAAACGGCGGCCGUAACUAUAACGGUCCUAAGGUAGCGAAAUUCCUUGUCGGGUAAGUUCCGACCUGCACGAAUGGCGUAAUGAUGGCCACGCUGUCUCCACCCGAGACUCAGUGAAAUUGAAAUCGCUGUGAAGAUGCAGUGUACCCGCGGCUAGACGGAAAGACCCCGUGAACCUUUACUACAGCUUGGCACUGAACAUUGACCCUACAUGUGUAGGAUAGGUGGGAGGCUUUGAAGCACGUACGCCAGUAUGUGUGGAGCCGUCCUUGAAAUACCACCCUUGUAGUGUUGAUGUUCUAACGUCGACCCCUAAUCGGGGUUGCGGACAGUGCCUGGUGGGUAGUUUGACUGGGGCGGUCUCCUCCCAAAGAGUAACGGAGGAGCACGAAGGUGGGCUAAUCACGGUUGGACAUCGUGAGGUUAGUGCAAUGGCAUAAGCCCGCUUGACUGCGAGAAUGACAAUUCGAGCAGGUGCGAAAGCAGGUCAUAGUGAUCCGGUGGUUCUGAAUGGAAGGGCCAUCGCUCAACGGAUAAAAGGUACUCCGGGGAUAACAGGCUGAUACCGCCCAAGAGUUCAUAUCGACGGCGGUGUUUGGCACCUCGAUGUCGGCUCAUCACAUCCUGGGGCUGAAGUCGGUCCCAAGGGUAUGGCUGUUCGCCAUUUAAAGUGGUACGCGAGCUGGGUUUAGAACGUCGUGAGACAGUUCGGUCCCUAUCUGCCGUGGGCGUUGGAAGAUUGAAGGGGGCUGCUCCUAGUACGAGAGGACCGGAGUGGACGAACCUCUGGUGUUCGGGUUGUGUCGCCAGACGCAUUGCCCGGUAGCUAAGUUCGGAAUCGAUAACCGCUGAAAGCAUCUAAGCGGGAAGCGAGCCCUGAGAUGAGUCUUCCCUGAUACUUUAAGUAUCCUAAAGGGUUGUCGGAGACUACGACGUUGAUAGGUCAGGUGUGUAAGUGCUGUGAGGCAUUGAGCUAACUGAUACUAAUUGCCCGUGAGGCUUAACCAU